Molecule: non-coding RNA, 21 nt
Filed under: Arabidopsis thaliana (thale cress)
Lineage: Eukaryota; Viridiplantae; Streptophyta; Magnoliopsida; Brassicales; Brassicaceae
Source: RNAcentral
UCGCUGUCGCUGGUUUCAGUC